UCCUCGCGGUCCAAGUCGCAGCCAUCAUUAUUGGGUCUAAAACAUCCGUAGCUUGCUUAAUAAGUUCCUUGUGAAAUCUUAUCUCUUAAGGGUAAGGCGUGCAGGGAAUACUGUUGAGCUAGAGACUGGAAGACGUAAGAAGUAUGUUCGAAGUAGUGGUAAAAUAUGUUAAUCUCGGACAGACUCACAACAGCGAAGGCAUCUUACGAGGACAGUUCUGACAGUAAAGGAUGAAGGCUAGGGGCGCAAAGUGG
Molecule: ribosomal RNA, 254 nt
Filed under: uncultured bacterium
Lineage: Bacteria
Description: partial 16S ribosomal RNA
Rfam family: Archaeal small subunit ribosomal RNA
Source: RNAcentral